AUGCCCAAAAACCUGCGGCUGCGUGACCUCCCUAGCUUCGUGCGCACCACGGACCCCGAUGACAUCAUGUUCAACUUCUUCGUCCACGAGACGGCCGCCAUGUCGCAGGCGUCGGGGGUGGUGAUAAACACCUGGGACGAGCUCGACGCGCCCCUGCUCGAUGCCAUGUCCAAGCUCCUGCCGCCCGUCUAUACAGUGGGGCCACUCCAUCUCACGGUCCACAACAAUGUCUCGAAGGAGAGCCCCCUCGCCGACAUCGGGUCCAACCUGUGGAAGGAGCAGGACGCACCCCUCCGGUGGCUCGACGGCCAACCGCCGAACUCCGUGUUGUAUGUAAAUUUUGGGAGCAUCACGGUGAUGUCCAAGGAGCAUUUGUUGGAGUUCGCGUGGGGGUUGGCCAACACCGGCUACGCCUUCCUGUGGAACGUGCGGCCUGACCUCGUCAAGGGCGACGACAAAGCCGCACUACCGCCAGAAUUUUUUGUAGCGACCGAGGGGCGGAGCAUGCUCUCGACAUGGUGCCCGCAGGAGAAGGUGCUGGAGCAUGAGGCCGUAGGGAUCUUCCUCACGCACUCUGGGUGGAACUCGUCGGUGGAGGGCAUAUGCGGUGGCGUUCCGAUGGUGUGUUGGCCCUUCUUUGCGGAGCAGCAGACCAACUGCCGCUACAAGUGCACAGAGUGGGGCAUCGGGGUGGAGAUUGGGGACGACGUGAGGAGGACCGAGGUGGAGGCGAUGAUACGGGAGGCCAUGGAGGGGGCGAAGGGGCGAGAGAUGCGGCGGCGUGUGCAAGAGCUCCGGCAGAGCGCCCUGGCCUCCGCACGGUGUGACGGAAGGUCCAUGCGCAAUGUUGAUAGGCUCAUCCACGAGGUGCUGCUGGCUUGA
RNAcentral lists this ribosomal RNA (882 nucleotides) under Triticum aestivum (bread wheat). Its description in RNAcentral is "partial small subunit ribosomal RNA". The record is from RNAcentral. Lineage: Eukaryota; Viridiplantae; Streptophyta; Magnoliopsida; Poales; Poaceae.